RNAcentral lists this ribosomal RNA (465 nucleotides) under Vreelandella stevensii. RNAcentral's name for it is "partial 16S ribosomal RNA". It matches the Rfam family "Bacterial small subunit ribosomal RNA", at positions 338 to 795 of the family's 1533-position model. The record is from RNAcentral. Lineage: Bacteria; Pseudomonadati; Pseudomonadota; Gammaproteobacteria; Oceanospirillales; Halomonadaceae.
CCUACGGGGGGCAGCAGUGGGGAAUAUUGGACAAUGGGCGAAAGCCUGAUCCAGCCAUGCCGCGUGUGUGAAGAAGGCCUACGGGUUGUAAAGCACUUUCAGUGGGGAAGAAAGCCUUGGGGCUAAUACCCUCGAGGAAGGACAUCACCCACAGAAGAAGCACCGGCUAACUCCGUGCCAGCAGCCGCGGUAAUACGGAGGGUGCGAGCGUUAAUCGGAAUUACUGGGCGUAAAGCGCGCGUAGGCGGUCUGAUAAGCCGGUUGUGAAAGCCCCGGGCUCAACCUGGGAACGGCAUCCGGAACUGUCAGGCUAGAGUGCAGGAGAGGAAGGUAGAAUUCCCGGUGUAGCGGUGAAAUGCGUAGAGAUCGGGAGGAAUACCAGUGGCGAAGGCGGCCUUCUGGACUGACACUGACGCUGAGGUGCGAAAGCGUGGGUAGCAAACAGGAUUAGAUACCCCAGUAGUC